Molecule: small nucleolar RNA, 96 nt
Filed under: Bos indicus x Bos taurus (hybrid cattle)
Lineage: Eukaryota; Metazoa; Chordata; Mammalia; Artiodactyla; Bovidae
Description: Small nucleolar RNA SNORD116 (ENSBIXG00005001933.1)
Rfam family: Small nucleolar RNA SNORD116
About the family: HBII-85 is a member of the C/D class of snoRNAs, which contain the C (UGAUGA) and D (CUGA) box motifs. HBII-85 is encoded in a tandemly repeated array with another C/D snoRNA, HBII-52, in the Prader-Willi syndrome (PWS) region of chromosome 15. Unlike most other snoRNAs, HBII-85 is expressed prevalently in the brain (but is absent in PWS patients) and lacks any significant complementarity with ribosomal RNA.
Source: RNAcentral
GGAUCGAUGAUGACACCCUCACAUGCAUUCCUUGGAAAAUCCUGAACAAAAUGAGUGAGAAGCUCACUACCGUCCUCCUCAUCGAAACUGAGGUCC